Molecule: transfer RNA, 75 nt
Filed under: Candidatus Kaiserbacteria bacterium RIFCSPHIGHO2_02_FULL_55_25
Lineage: Bacteria; Candidatus Kaiseribacteriota
Also listed under: 2 other names
Description: tRNA-Val
Rfam family: tRNA
About the family: Transfer RNA (tRNA) molecules are approximately 80 nucleotides in length. Their secondary structure includes four short double-helical elements and three loops (D, anti-codon, and T loops). Further hydrogen bonds mediate the characteristic L-shaped molecular structure. tRNAs have two regions of fundamental functional importance: the anti-codon, which is responsible for specific mRNA codon recognition, and the 3' end, to which the tRNAs corresponding amino acid is attached (by aminoacyl-tRNA synthetases). tRNAs cope with the degeneracy of the genetic code in two manners: having more than one tRNA (with a specific anti-codon) for a particular amino acid; and 'wobble' base-pairing, i.e. permitting non-standard base-pairing at the 3rd anti-codon position.
Source: RNAcentral
GCGCGCUUAGCUCAGUGGUAGAGCAUUGUCUUGACGUGACAAGGGUCGGGGGUUCGAUUCCCUUAGCGCGCACCG